Molecule: ribosomal RNA, 787 nt
Filed under: uncultured bacterium
Lineage: Bacteria
Description: bacterial SSU rRNA
Rfam family: Bacterial small subunit ribosomal RNA
Source: RNAcentral
AGAGUUUGAUCCUGGCUCAGGAUGAACGCUAGCGGCAGGCUUAACACAUGCAAGUCGAGGGGUAUGUUUCUUCGGAAGCAGAGACCGGCGCACGGGUGCGUAACGCGUAUGCAAUCUACCUUUUACAGAGGGAUAGCCCAGAGAAAUUUGGAUUAAUACCUCAUAGUAUUAUGAAAUGGCAUCAUUUUAUAAUUAAAGUCACAACGGUAAAAGAUGAGCAUGCGUCCCAUUAGCUAGUUGGUAAGGUAACGGCUUACCAAGGCUACGAUGGGUAGGGGUCCUGAGAGGGAGAUCCCCCACACUGGUACUGAGACACGGACCAGACUCCUACGGGAGGCAGCAGUGAGGAAUAUUGGACAAUGGGCGCAAGCCUGAUCCAGCCAUGCCGCGUGCAGGAUGACGGUCCUAUGGAUUGUAAACUGCUUUUAUACGGGAAGAAACACCUCUACGUGUAGAGACUUGACGGUACUGUAUGAAUAAGGACCGGCUAACUCCGUGCCAGCAGCCGCGGUAAUACGGAGGGUCCAAGCGUUAUCCGGAAUCAUUGGGUUUAAAGGGUCCGUAGGCGGUUUGAUAAGUCAGUGGUGAAAGCCCAUCGCUCAACGAUGGAACGGCCAUUGAUACUGUUAAACUUGAAUUAUUAGGAAGUAACUAGAAUAUGUAGUGUAGCGGUGAAAUGCUUAGAGAUUACAUGGAAUACCAAUUGCGAAGGCAGGUUACUACUAAUAUAUUGACGCUGAUGGACGAAAGCGUGGGGAGCGAACAGGAUUAGAUACCCUGGUAGUCC